Molecule: small nuclear RNA, 94 nt
Filed under: Saimiri boliviensis boliviensis (Bolivian squirrel monkey)
Lineage: Eukaryota; Metazoa; Chordata; Mammalia; Primates; Cebidae
Source: RNAcentral
GUGCUCACUUCGGCAGCAUGUAUACUGAAAUUGGAAAGAUUUACAUGGCCCCUGUGCAAGCAGGACUCAUACAUUCACAGUGCUUCAUACUUCU